CAUGGCUUUUUGAUUAUAAUUUAAAGUCUGGCCUGCCCUAUGAAUUUUUAAAUGGCUGCGGUACCCUGACCGUGCAAAGGUAGCAUAAUAAUUAGUUUCUUAAUUGGGAACUGGAAUGAAAGGUCGCACGAGAAAAAGACUGUCUCAAUUUAAUUUAAAUUAGAAUUUUAUCUUUAAGUAAGAAAGCUUAAAUAUUAUUAAAAGACGAGAAGACCCUAUAGAGUUUUAUAAUUUUAUAUAUACUUAAAAGUUAAAGUAUUUUAGAUUUAAUUAUAUAUAACAUUAUUUGGUUGGGGCGGCUAAAAAAUUAAAAAAACUUUUUUUACUAAUAAACAUUGAUGUAUGAUUAAGUGAUCCAUAGAGUUAUGAUUAUAAGAUCAAAUUACCUUAGGGAUAACAGCGUAAUUUUUUUUGAGAGUCCUUAUCGAAAAAAAAGUUUGCGACC
Molecule: ribosomal RNA, 445 nt
Filed under: Garreta nitens
Lineage: Eukaryota; Metazoa; Arthropoda; Insecta; Coleoptera; Scarabaeidae
Description: partial 16S ribosomal RNA
Rfam family: Bacterial large subunit ribosomal RNA
Source: RNAcentral